This 443-nucleotide ribosomal RNA is filed under the name uncultured bacterium. Its description in RNAcentral is "partial 16S ribosomal RNA". It matches the Rfam family "Bacterial small subunit ribosomal RNA", at positions 338 to 795 of the family's 1533-position model. The record is from RNAcentral.
CCUACGGGCGGCAGCAGUGGGGAAUAUUGGGCAAUGGCGGAAACUCUGACCCAGCAACGCCGCGUGAAUGAUGAAGGUCUUCGGAUUGUAAAGUUCUUUUCUAAGGGGAGAAGCAAGUGACGGUACCUUAGGAAUAAGCCUCGGCUAACUACGUGCCAGCAGCCGCGGUAAUACGUAGGAGGCAAGCGUUAUCCGGAAUGACUGGGCGUAAAGGGUGCGUAGGUGGUUUGAGAAGUUGGUAGCGUAACUCGGGGGCGCAACCUCGUCACUACUACCAAAACUGUCGGACUUGAGUGCAGGAGGGGCAACUGGAAUGCCUGGUGUAGCGGUGGAAUGCGUAGAUAUUAGGAGGAACACCAGUGGCGAAGGCGAGUUGCUGGACUGUAACUGACACUGAUGCACGAAAGCGUGGGGAGCAAACAGGAUUAGAUACCCGUGUAGUC